Molecule: ribosomal RNA, 396 nt
Filed under: Candidatus Planktophila sp.
Lineage: Bacteria; Bacillati; Actinomycetota; Actinomycetes; Candidatus Nanopelagicales; Candidatus Nanopelagicaceae
Description: bacterial SSU rRNA
Rfam family: Bacterial small subunit ribosomal RNA
Source: RNAcentral
UAUGGAGAGUUUGAUCCUGGCUCAGGACGAACGCUGGCGGCGUGCUUAACACAUGCAAGUCGAGCGAUGAAGCACCUUCGGGUGUGAAUUAGCGGCGAACGGGUGAGGAACACGUGAGAAAUCUGCCUUCAACACUGGGAUAACUCCGGGAAACCGGGGCUAAUACCGGAUAUGAAACCUGCGGGCAUCCGCGGGUUUGGAAAGUUUUUCGGUUGAAGAUGAUCUCGCGGCCUAUCAGCUUGUUGGUGAGGUAAUGGCUCACCAAGGCGACGACGGGUAGCCGGCCUGAGAGGGCGACCGGCCACACUGGGACUGAGACACGGCCCAGACUCCUACGGGAGGCAGCAGUGGGGAAUAUUGGGCAAUGGAGGAAACUCUGACCCAGCGACGCCGCGU